UCAGAGUCAGACCAUGUUAUUAACAUCAACCGGUUUCCUCUACUCCAUCCUGUGCUAAAUUACAGCUAGCAUUAACAUUUUUUUAUUAUUUCCUAUUGCUUCACUUUUGAUAGAGAUUAAUUACUUUAGUAUCAGUAGUAUUUAAGCUGUCUGUUGGAGGCAUGUGCUCUACAUCUUCAUAUUAUGUAGUGUGUAUCAUCCUAUCGCUUGAUACACUAAAAGUACUAUCGGUAUCUUUUUUUGAUCACAUAAUGGUCUAUAAUAUUUGUGUAACAACACUUAGUUCUUGACCUUUCUAGAUUCGAUGGGUUAGCAGUUUCAUUGGUUAUUUGAUCAUUCUUAUUAGUCACCCUCGGCAUGGCUUAGCUGACUUUUUAUAAUAAUGUUCAGCCAUGCAUGACAAAAAACUAAACUGACAAUAUUCACUUUUUCUGUGCAAGUUAGCUUUAAGUUAUGGUGUUCAUCAAAUAUUAUUUUAUACAAAAGCAUGCCACUGUAUUUGAAAAAAAUAGAUAGAAAAUUUACUAUAAGUGUGGGUUUCUUUCUUAUACUCGUCUUUAUUUUGGAAAUCCAUGUUUUUUCAUACAGGAGGGUCUGCUUUUGCACAGAAAGACAACAUUGAGCAAGAAGGUAAUUUAUGAGAUCGUCUAAGUCAGGCCCGGUGCAUAGUGUCAGGUCAAAGUUUGUUUGAGCCUUUUUUGCGACAUCAAGUGCUUCUCAUAUAUUCAACAGGUGCAUCUAAGACAGCAACACUCGCAUUGGUGUAUUCUGACAGUGUCCACCCAUCAUCAAGUAACAAGUUCAUAUCCACAGGUAUGCCAGAGUCAGCCACAUUUAUUUUUGCCAUUUUUUUAUAAUGAUCUAGCUAGCAUAUCACUUAUUUUUUAAAGUAAGUUUUGUUCUCUUAUUUGAAGUUACUUAGACACAUAAUUCCAGGAUUUAUUUUGGGUGCAGCUUUCUUGUUUUCAACUUGUAUAUCUCUUUUUCGGCAACUCUGUGCAUGUUCCUCUAUUUUUUCCUUUAUCUCCCUGUUCUUUUUUGUUGAUCCACACAAAGAUUAAUAACAGUUUUUUUAUACUAGAGAGUUGAAGUUGCUCUGUUGCAUGCUUUGUUUCAUGAAUUGUUGCAUAUUCUAUUUGAGUUAUCACAUUGAAAACAACAGAUAAGAAAUAAUAACUCCUUGCCCCCCUAUAUAUAGCUUGCAAAGUUUCAUCUGUUUGUACUUUAUUGAAAAUUAUAGUCCAACUAUACAAAUUUGCACAACUUAUUCAUAAUCUGGAAGAAGAUAAGGUUUUCAGGUUUCUCCAUCCCAUCUUUAAGAAUCUUAUUAUUUUCAAAAGUUUCCCAAAAAGUUUUUCCCCAAAACUAUGUAUUGAGGGCUCUUCCAAAAUUUUUUUUCCAAAAAACAUAUCAACCCACAACAGAUUGCUAAUAACUUGCCCCCAAUCCAAUCUUUUAUUUUGCUGCAACAUAUUCCUCACCUUUUUCCUUUCUUCCUUUCUUGCCGCAUGGCUCCAAUCCAAUCCCCUCCUGAUUCCUUUCUUGCUAUCAUAGCUUGUGAACACAUGCUACAGCUAUGCUCCCAGCUAGGCUCGAUUUAGAGGAGUUUAUGCCGAUUUGAGUAGUGAUUCACUGGAUCUCGACCGGAGGACAUCGAUUCGAGUUCAUUUUUGUCUGGAGGACAUCAAUUCUAGAUCGACUUCGAUACACGCUGGCUGCUCCCACCAUUGUGCCACGUUCGCGAAGAGCAAUGGAGCUCCCAUCCACAACACCUGAUUUUGCCUGCAUUGUUGAGCUCGCCAAGGUUGAUUUGUGUACACCAUUGACGGAGAGGCCGCGGACGCCACGGCCGUCGUGGUCUUGGUGGCGCUGCUUGCGCCCUGGUUCUUGGGCUGCUGCUAUGGCCUGUGCUCGUCGAUCCGCCCGGCCCCGCCAUGACCCGGACAUGUGCUCGUCGAUCCGCCCAGCCCCGCCAUGACCCGGACAUUGCCAACCGCAUCAGCGCCCUGCACGACGACUGCUGCUCUAGAUCCUCACCCGCCUCCGCUGCACCCACACCGCCGCUAUGCUCAUCGCCAAUCGCCAUUCGCUCGACGCCGUGCUUGUCGCUACCGAGCGAGGGAGAGAGGGAGGGGGGGAGCAGGAGGAGGAGGGGCACGGAGGACGAGGGGUGGAUAGCAUGUGGGAAGGAGCCGUUGGUAGCGAUCGAGGAAAAAUAAGAUUUUGGAAUAAUUUUAAGGAGCUUUUGGAGUUUCUCUAACCAGAACUCUUUAAAUAGGCAGUGGUGCACCGACACGACCUUCUGUUUUGGCGGGCUAUAAAACUCCAGCUUCCGGCUGUCUGUCAUCUUUUGACUUUUUUUCUGGAUCAUUUUCCUCAAAGGCCCGUUCAAAAAAUUUUGUUCAGAAACAGACCAAAAAAGAGCCCAAAGUUGAAAAAUGAAGCCUAAAACAAACCCCCGGGUCCACUUGGUCCUCUUUUUUUCUUAACGGGUCUACCGGGUCCGUUUUUGGAAAG
Molecule: long non-coding RNA, 2517 nt
Organism: Setaria italica (foxtail millet)
Lineage: Eukaryota; Viridiplantae; Streptophyta; Magnoliopsida; Poales; Poaceae
Exons: 3
Source: RefSeq, a predicted model, not a curated record